RNAcentral lists this ribosomal RNA (466 nucleotides) under uncultured bacterium. RNAcentral describes it as "partial 16S ribosomal RNA". It matches the Rfam family "Bacterial small subunit ribosomal RNA", at positions 28 to 505 of the family's 1533-position model. The record is from RNAcentral.
GACGAACGCUGGCGGCGUGCUUAACACAUGCAAGUCGAACGGAAAGGCCCUGCUUUUGUGGGGUGCUCGAGUGGCGAACGGGUGAGUAACACGUGAGUAACCUGCCCUUGACUUUGGGAUAACUUCAGGAAACUGGGGCUAAUACCGGAUAGGAGCUCCUGCUGCAUGGUGGGGGUUGGAAAGUUUCGGCGGUUGGGGAUGGACUCGCGGCUUAUCAGCUUGUUGGUGGGGUAGUGGCUUACCAAGGCUUUGACGGGUAGCCGGCCUGAGAGGGUGACCGGCCACAGUGGGACUGAGAUGCGGCCGAGACUCAUACGGGGGGCAGCAGUGGGGAAUAUUGCACAAUGGGCGGGAGCGUGAUGCAGCAGCGCCGCGUGCGGGAUGACGGCCUUCGGGUUGUAAACCGCUUUCGCCUGUGACGAAGCGUGUGUGACGGUAAUGGGUAAAGAAGCAGCGGAUAACUACG